MicroRNA precursor from Pan paniscus (pygmy chimpanzee), 98 nucleotides. Lineage: Eukaryota; Metazoa; Chordata; Mammalia; Primates; Hominidae. The record is from Ensembl.
AGGUGGGAGGAUUGCUUGAGCCUGGGAGGUGGAGGUUGCAGUGAGCCAAGAUCACGCCACUGCACUCCAGCCUGGGCAACAGAGUGAGACUCUUUCUC